AGAGUUUGAUCCUGGCUCAGAUUGAACGCUGGCGGCAUGCCUUACACAUGCAAGUCGAACGGCAGCGCGGGGGCAACCCUGGCGGCGAGUGGCGAACGGGUGAGUAAUAUAUCGGAACGUGCCCUAGAGUGGGGGAUAACGUAGCGAAAGUUACGCUAAUACCGCAUACGAUCUACGGAUGAAAGGGGGGAUCGCGAAGA
This 200-nucleotide ribosomal RNA is filed under the name uncultured bacterium. Its description in RNAcentral is "partial 16S ribosomal RNA". It matches the Rfam family "Bacterial small subunit ribosomal RNA", at positions 8 to 212 of the family's 1533-position model. The record is from RNAcentral.